GCUCAGGAGUUUGAGACCAGCCUGAGCAACAUGGCGAAACCCCAUCUCUACAAAAAUUACAAAAAAAAAAAAAAAAACCAGCCAGGUGUGGUGGUACAUGUCUGUAGUCCCAGCUACUUGGGGAGCUGAGGUGAGAAGAUCGCUUGAGCCCAGGAGGUUGAGGCUUCAGUGAGCCAAGACCAUGCUAUUGCACUCCAGCUGGGUGACAAAGUGAGACCCUGUCUCAAAAAAAAAAAAAAAAAAGUGAGUUUGAAAUUUAAAAUUUUCUUGCUAUUUCUUAUAUAGUCAGACAAGGCUUGGUUCAACACCCUGAGCUGGGUUGGCUUGACAGGACUAGCACUAGACCUGACCCAGAGGUAAAGGCAAUUGUGGGAAGAGCGGACGGACCUGGGAAGAAAUCUAGAAGCCAACGAGCAGAACACCAAAGCUUGUCACUGGGCAACAGAGAACUGGUCCAACAAAGCUGUCACCAUCAGAAAUGUGUGUCACCAGGUCAGAGAAACAGGAAAUCAAGGAAAGACAGAAGAGAGAAAAAAAGAAAAGAGAAAGCAGAAAUGUGGGUUUUGCUGCAAAGAAAUACCAAAAUUGUUUCCAAUCAGUCAAAGUGAAUCAUCUGUCUACCAACAUGCCUCAUUUUUCAUUGUCUAUAGGUAACUUAGAAAAGAGUAACUAAUGCAAGGAAUAGUUUUGUUAUAAAAUGUGCAUAAUUUUGACUGCUUUAAUAAUGAAAUUUAAAUUCACAUGUAUUUCCUUCUUUUCUAUGAACUUCUUUUAAUCAUAACUGGAAAAAAAAUGUCAAGUGGUGUCCACAGCUAGCUGACACUUCACAUGAAGAUUGAAGAAGAAUAAAUUUCAUUUUAAAUACAUGUUCCUUCGCAAGUUCUGUGAUUAAACAUUCACGCUAGCUUUCCUCGGUCAAAAAUGAAAGAACCGAAUGAACUUCUGUUUGAUCCUCUCCUCCACAGGAUAAAUUUUCCUUUUUCUAGUACAUUUAGAGUGCAUAUUUUGGCAAGUGUGGACUAGGGAGUGGGGAAGGUGUUGUGGGUGGGGAACACUUGCUUUCUUCCAUGAGAGCAACCCCUGCCUGGCCUUCGGAGAGAUUUUAGCAAUUCCCAAUCCUGCCCCACUUCCAGCAGUCUGGGCACCUGGGCACCCAGCUCCAAUGGGAUUAGCUUUCACUGUACUGGAUUCCUCUGUCAAACAACUGACCCGCAAACUCUAUAGUUACCACCAUGCAACACAAAGCUUGAACAUACUAACAAUCUGUUACUAUUCACUGGUGUGUAAUGUACACAGGAAUGUGAAAUUACAUGGAAAUGCAAUCCGGAGUAAAAAUCUAAAAAUUCAUACAUUGUAUUAGGUUAGUAUUUAUAAUUUCCAAAAACAAAGUCAUUGAAGAGGUCAUGAUUUUUGUUAAAAUUAAUGAGAUUAAAGAUCAGGCACAGGUUAAAUUUGCCUUCAAGGCAGAAGUUUAGCAGACAAACAAUUCUGGUUUAGUUAAAAGUACAUGGUCUUUGAACUCUCGUGUCGAAAGAGUUGAACACAACUAAACUUUAAUGUGAAAAGGUCUCAAGUAGUUAAUCAGAAAUGAGAGGCGCACAUAGCAUUUUAUACUGUUUUCGAUUUGCUGACACAACAUCAUUCUGUGCUCUCUAGUGAGCAAGAGUAAUCCUCAAUAGCAUUAAGACGAAAGGCUGAACACAAAACCGCAGGCAAGUCAAGUAGUGAUUUUAUUCUUUUUGUCAUUUUUCUUUCAAGUGGAAGAUCCCUAACACUCUCUGCUCCUGACAAUGUUUAUAAACAGAACUCUGAGAAGCAUCUGAAUGUAAAAAAAAAAUAGGUCUCUCCAACAAACUGUGAUAGACGAUCAACCAGCUGAGUCCUCUUCCAGAUGACAUGGGGUUGGAAGUACUUUUAAGACCUAGUUUCCACAAAAAUAAAACUCUUAAAAUUACUCAACUUGCUGGGUCUGAUCCCUAUGAAAGAAAAAUAGUGUAUAACAUAAGAUAUACCAUAAUCAGUUACACCAACAACUCAGUUCCGAGAAAAGUUUGAAAACAUUAACAUUGGAAAAGAAAGUUCAAUCAAAGACAUGCAUUAGGCUAAAACGUUCUUUAUGAUAGCACUUCAUUUUAACAUAUAAACACUAUGCUCCUUAUAACAUACCUUGUAAUCUAUAAAAUAAAGGCAACAUAUUUUAUGUCUGAUAAUAAAAAAAAGUUAACUGCUAAAUCCUAGAUGACAAAACACUUCAUCUUUUACCCCAUAAAAUUUGCCCUGAAUUUUAAAAUUCAUCACUUACGUAAUAUCUGAAUUCUACAACUCUGAUAGCCUUUUAUUAGCAGGCUAUGUAAAGAUCCAAAAUCGUUACACAGUACAAACAGUGAACUGCUAAGCUAAAGUAUAACCUUUUUGCUUAACUGGAUAGACUAAAGUAAUAAUAGACUAUGUAAUACAAACUUCUCAAAGUAAGUCUUCGUUCCCCUCAUCCAUCCCAAAAAAACACUACUAAUAGUUUUUCCUUGAACAUCUAUACAUUAUCAAGUGUAGGUGUCUACUAUGUAAUAAUAAUAUACAUUCAAACCACCUUUUUGGGUUUUCUUAAAUGUAGGCUUAUCUUCUGCUCAAAGCAAAGAUACUGCAAUAGAAAAUCAGCAAUGUGACAAUUAUAAUAUGCUCUUAAAUUAUAAAUCAAUAGGCUGGUCAUGGUGGCUUACGCCUGUAAUCCUAGCACUUUGGGAGGCCGAGGCAGGUAGAUCACUUGAGAUCGGGAGUUGGAGAUCAGCCUGGCCAACAUGGUGAAACCCCGUCUCUACUAAAAAUACAAAAAAUUAGCCAGGCAUGGUAGCAGACACCUGUAGUCACAGCUACUUGGGAGGCUGACGCAGGAGAACUGCUUGAACCUGGGAGGUGGAGGUUGCAGUGAACUGAGAUUGCACCACUACACUCCAGCCUGGGUGACAGAGCUGAGACUCGGUCU
Molecule: long non-coding RNA, 2980 nt
Filed under: Homo sapiens (human)
Lineage: Eukaryota; Metazoa; Chordata; Mammalia; Primates; Hominidae
Description: HSALNT0080614
Source: RNAcentral